AAAGACAUCAAAUUUAUUUCUCUUCUUAUAUCUUUGUUUAUUCUGCUCAUAUUUGUCUCAUCUCAAGUGGAAGACGCCCAGGCCAAACAUCUCCAACGGAGCGAAUUUCGCUUGGAUUACGUUCCUCUUCCUCUUCCUCCUCCUCCCCCUCGCCCUCAACCUCCCAAAUCCUAUAUGCCGCCCUCUAAAUCACCUAGAGGAAAAGGCCCAUAAGCCAAACUCGUCUCCAGAAGUGACGAAUAAGAGGUCAAAGAAAGUGAGUAAGAAGAACUGUCAAGCUCAUAUCAAACUAAUUAAAAAAGAAAGAAAAUGGUGAAGACAGUCUUAUAGUAGCUGGACCUUUGCAGGUAAGGUCUGAGUUUACAAUCGCUUAUUUACAUAUGCAUAACUAUUUUGCAAUAUUAAAAUUUAGAGUUAUCUACGUCAAACCAUCUUAUUCA
This is a long non-coding RNA of Arabidopsis lyrata subsp. lyrata, 440 nucleotides long. RefSeq lists it as uncharacterized. The transcript has 2 exons. NCBI's taxonomy places the organism in Eukaryota, Viridiplantae, Streptophyta, Magnoliopsida, Brassicales, Brassicaceae. The record is from RefSeq and is a predicted model, not a curated record.